This 520-nucleotide ribosomal RNA is filed under the name uncultured Gigasporaceae. RNAcentral's name for it is "SSU rRNA". It matches the Rfam family "Eukaryotic small subunit ribosomal RNA", at positions 569 to 1092 of the family's 1831-position model. The record is from RNAcentral. Lineage: Eukaryota; Fungi; Glomeromycota; Glomeromycetes; Diversisporales; Gigasporaceae.
AGCAGCCGCGGUAAUUCCAGCUCCAAUAGCGUAUAUUAAAGUUGUUGCAGUUAAAAAGCUCGUAGUUGAAUUUCGGGAUUCUUCCGUUGGUCAGGCUAACAAGUCUGUACUAGCGUGUAGAAUCUCUACCUUCUGGGGAACCAUCAUGUUAUUUAUUUAGCGUGGUGGGAAACCAGGACCUUUACCUUGAAAAAAUUAGAGUGUUCAAAGCAGGCUUACGUCUGAAUACAUUAGCAUGGAAUAAUAAAAUAGGACGGUGGUCCUGUUUUGUUGGUUUCUGAAUCACCGUAAUGAUUAAUAGGGAUAGUUGGGGGCAUUAGUAUUCAAUUGUCAGAGGUGAAAUUCUUGGAUUUAUUGAAGACUAACUUCUGCGAAAGCAUUUGCCAAGGAUGUUUUCAUUAAUCAAGAACGAAAGUUAGGGGAUCGAAGACGAUCAGAUACCGUCGUAGUCUUAACCAUAAACUAUGCCGACUAGGGAUCGGACGAUGUUAAAUUUUAUUGACUCGUUCGGCGCCUUACG